CCUACGGGUGGCAGCAGUGAGGAAUAUUGGUCAAUGUGCGCGAGCCUGAACCAGCCAAGUCGCGUGAGGGAAGACGGUCCUAUGGAUUGUAAACCUCUUUUGUCGGGGAGCAAAAGACGCCACGCGUGGCGUUCCGAGAGUACCCGAAGAAAAAGCAUCGGCUAACUCCGUGCCAGCAGCCGCGGUAAUACGGAGGAUGCGAGCGUUAUCCGGAUUUAUUGGGUUUAAAGGGUGCGCAGGCGGAAGAUCAAGUCAGCGGUAAAAUUGAGAGGCUCAACCUCUUCGAGCCGUUGAAACCGGUGUUCUUGAGUGAGUGAGAAGUAUGCGGAAUGCGUGGUGUAGCGGUGAAAUGCAUAGAUAUCACGCAGAACUCCGAUUGCGAAGGCAGCAUACCGGCGCUCAACUGACGCUCAUGCACGAAAGUGUGGGUAUCGAACAGGAUUAGAUACCCGUGUAGUC
This 459-nucleotide ribosomal RNA is filed under the name uncultured bacterium. RNAcentral's name for it is "partial 16S ribosomal RNA". It matches the Rfam family "Bacterial small subunit ribosomal RNA", at positions 338 to 795 of the family's 1533-position model. The record is from RNAcentral.